Molecule: long non-coding RNA, 237 nt
Filed under: Olea europaea subsp. europaea
Lineage: Eukaryota; Viridiplantae; Streptophyta; Magnoliopsida; Lamiales; Oleaceae
Source: RNAcentral
UUUUAUGAGUAGUCAAGCAUAACAAAAUAAUAAUAAUAACAACAAGAGGAAAAUUAUUGUAACAAAAACAACUCAAUCAUGUUUAUCUACCAUCACAAACAUGAAAAUGAAGUAUCCAAUGUUUAACUUAAAAACAACAGAACAGCCACGAGCUCUUCAAUGCCUUGUAUGAAUUCCCGAGAAGUAAUAAUACUACAUAAAGCUUAUAUCAUAUUACUCAUUUGAAAUACUAAAAAC